UGAAAUUUACUUUUUAGUAAGAAGGCUAAAAUAGAACUUUUAGACAAGAAGACCCUAUAAAACUUUAUAUUUCUAUUUCUUAAAAGAAAGAAGAAGUAUUUUACUGGGGCGGUAGAGAAAAGAGCUUUCUUUAAAAGAAGAAACGAACAAGUUUUUAUACCUAGAAGUUCUAAAAAAGAAAUAAGUUACUUUAGGGAUAACAGCUUAAUUUACUUAGAAAGAUCAAAUUGACAAGUAAGU
RNAcentral lists this ribosomal RNA (240 nucleotides) under Androctonus amoreuxi. Its description in RNAcentral is "partial large subunit ribosomal RNA". The record is from RNAcentral. Lineage: Eukaryota; Metazoa; Arthropoda; Arachnida; Scorpiones; Buthidae.